GAUUAGGUUGCUUGCAGUUAAAAAGCUCGUAGUUGGAUUUCGGGUGGGGCCUGCCGGUCCGCCGUUUCGGUGUGCACUGGCAGGGCCCACCUUGUUGCCGGGGACGGGCUCCUGGGCUUCACUGUCCGGGACUCGGAGUCGGCGCUGUUACUUUGAGUAAAUUAGAGUGUUCAAAGCAGGCCUACGCUCUGAAUACAUUAGCAUGGAAUAACACGAUAGGACUCUGGCCUAUCCUGUUGGUCUGUAGGACCGGAGUAAUGAUUAAGAGGGACAGUCGGGGGCAUUCGUAUUUCAUUGUCAGAGGUGAAAUUCUUGGAUUUAUGAAAGACGAACUACUGCGAAAGCAUUUGCCAAGGAUGUUUUCAUUAAUCAAGAACGAAAGUUGGGGGCUCGAAGA
Molecule: ribosomal RNA, 397 nt
Filed under: Chlorella sp. MACC 787
Lineage: Eukaryota; Viridiplantae; Chlorophyta; Trebouxiophyceae; Chlorellales; Chlorellaceae
Description: SSU rRNA
Rfam family: Eukaryotic small subunit ribosomal RNA
Source: RNAcentral